This 1032-nucleotide ribosomal RNA is filed under the name Bacillus safensis. RNAcentral's name for it is "bacterial SSU rRNA". It matches the Rfam family "Bacterial small subunit ribosomal RNA", at positions 46 to 1061 of the family's 1533-position model. The record is from RNAcentral. Lineage: Bacteria; Bacillati; Bacillota; Bacilli; Caryophanales; Bacillaceae.
GCUAAUACAUGCAAGUCGAGCGGACAGAAGGGAGCUUGCUCCCGGAUGUUAGCGGCGGACGGGUGAGUAACACGUGGGUAACCUGCCUGUAAGACUGGGAUAACUCCGGGAAACCGGAGCUAAUACCGGAUAGUUCCUUGAACCGCAUGGUUCAAGGAUGAAAGACGGUUUCGGCUGUCACUUACAGAUGGACCCGCGGCGCAUUAGCUAGUUGGUGGGGUAAUGGCUCACCAAGGCGACGAUGCGUAGCCGACCUGAGAGGGUGAUCGGCCACACUGGGACUGAGACACGGCCCAGACUCCUACGGGAGGCAGCAGUAGGGAAUCUUCCGCAAUGGACGAAAGUCUGACGGAGCAACGCCGCGUGAGUGAUGAAGGUUUUCGGAUCGUAAAGCUCUGUUGUUAGGGAAGAACAAGUGCGAGAGUAACUGCUCGCACCUUGACGGUACCUAACCAGAAAGCCACGGCUAACUACGUGCCAGCAGCCGCGGUAAUACGUAGGUGGCAAGCGUUGUCCGGAAUUAUUGGGCGUAAAGGGCUCGCAGGCGGUUUCUUAAGUCUGAUGUGAAAGCCCCCGGCUCAACCGGGGAGGGUCAUUGGAAACUGGGAAACUUGAGUGCAGAAGAGGAGAGUGGAAUUCCACGUGUAGCGGUGAAAUGCGUAGAGAUGUGGAGGAACACCAGUGGCGAAGGCGACUCUCUGGUCUGUAACUGACGCUGAGGAGCGAAAGCGUGGGGAGCGAACAGGAUUAGAUACCCUGGUAGUCCACGCCGUAAACGAUGAGUGCUAAGUGUUAGGGGGUUUCCGCCCCUUAGUGCUGCAGCUAACGCAUUAAGCACUCCGCCUGGGGAGUACGGUCGCAAGACUGAAACUCAAAGGAAUUGACGGGGGCCCGCACAAUCGGUGGAGCAUGUGGUUUAAUUCGAAGCAACGCGAAGAACCUUACCAGGUCUUGACAUCCUCUGACAACCCUAGAGAUAGGGCUUUCCCUUCGGGGACAGAGUGACAGGUGGUGCAUGGUGUUCGUCAGCUC